This 274-nucleotide ribosomal RNA is filed under the name uncultured bacterium. Its description in RNAcentral is "partial 16S ribosomal RNA". It matches the Rfam family "Bacterial small subunit ribosomal RNA", at positions 523 to 796 of the family's 1533-position model. The record is from RNAcentral.
AUACAGAGGGUGCGAGCGUUAAUCGGAAUUACUGGGCGUAAAGCGCGCGUAGGCGGCUUGGUCAGUCGGAUGUGAAAGCGCUGGGCUCAACCUGGGAAUUGCAUUCGAUACUGCCAAGCUAGAGUAUGGGAGAGGGAAGUGGAAUUUCCGGUGUAGCGGUGAAAUGCGUAGAUAUCGGAAAGAACACCAGUGGCGAAGGCGACUUCCUGGCCCAAUACUGACGCUGAGGUGCGAAAGCGUGGGGAGCGAACAGGAUUAGAAACCCUAGUAGUCC